GAUGAACGCUGGCGGCGUGCCUAAUACAUGCAAGUCGAGCGAACAGACUAUGCGCUUGCUCCUCUGACGUUAGCGGCGGACUUGUGAGUAACACGUGAAUAACCUAGCUAUAAGACUGGGAUAACGUCGGAAAACCGGAGCUAAUACCCUAUAAUCUAUUGAACCUCAUUAUUCAAUGGUGAUAGACUGUAUUGCUGUCUCUUAUCAAUGCAUCCGGGCCGAAUGUUCUAGUUGGUAGGGUAACGGCUUACCAAGGCAACGAUGCGUAACCGACCUGGGAGGGUAAUCGGCAACACUGGACCUGGGAAAGGCCCCGACCCCCACGGGAAGGAGCCAGUAGGGAAUCUUGGGAAAUGGCGGAAGGCUUGACGGAGCACGCCCGGGUGAGUAAUGAAGGUUUUCGAAUCGAAAACUUCUGUUAUUGGGGAGAACGAAAUGGGGAAGUAAAUAUGCACGCCUUGACGGUACCUAAUCAGAAAGCCACGGCUAACUACGUG
RNAcentral lists this ribosomal RNA (497 nucleotides) under uncultured bacterium. RNAcentral describes it as "partial 16S ribosomal RNA". It matches the Rfam family "Bacterial small subunit ribosomal RNA", at positions 28 to 507 of the family's 1533-position model. The record is from RNAcentral.